UUCCCUACGGGGGCAGCAGUAGGGAAUUUUCGUCAAUGGGCGCAAGCCUGAACGAGCAAUGCCGCGUGAACGAGGAAGGUCUUCGGAUCGUAAAGUUCUGUUGAAGGGGAAAAAGAGCGGAGAGAGGAAAUGGUCUCCGAUUGAUAUUACCCUUCGAGGAAGUCACGGCUAACUACGUGCCAGCAGCCGCGGUAAUACGUAGGAUCCGAGCGUUAUCCGGAUUUAUUGGGUUUAAAGGGAGCGUAGAUGGGUUGUUAAGUCAGUUGUGAAAGUUUGCGGCUCAACCGUAAAAUUGCAAUUGAUAC
This 305-nucleotide ribosomal RNA is filed under the name uncultured bacterium. Its description in RNAcentral is "bacterial SSU rRNA". It matches the Rfam family "Bacterial small subunit ribosomal RNA", at positions 335 to 633 of the family's 1533-position model. The record is from RNAcentral.